GGCUGAUCUAAAGGUAGUGAGUUGUCUCAAGUGAUAGUUGACAGUCAGUUACAGAUUAUUCUAUUCUUUCCUCCCUUUUCACUACUGUGCUUGAUUAGUCUUAA
This is an unclassified non-coding RNA of Otolemur garnettii (small-eared galago), 104 nucleotides long. It matches the Rfam family "Y RNA". Rfam says of the family: Y RNAs are components of the Ro ribonucleoprotein particle (Ro RNP), in association with Ro60 and La proteins. The Y RNAs and Ro60 and La proteins are well conserved, but the function of the Ro RNP is not known. In humans the RNA component can be one of four small RNAs -- hY1, hY3, hY4 and hY5. Lineage: Eukaryota; Metazoa; Chordata; Mammalia; Primates; Galagidae. The record is from Ensembl.